CAGAGGAUAGCUAUGUGCGUGUACAAAUUAAAUACACCGCUGAUAUUAUUCUAAACUGGAACAUAAGAAAUAUUCAGAAUGCUUUUACUCAGUUAAAGAUCUAAACAUUGAUUGCACCGUGGAUCAAAAUAGAUUACGAUCGCUGACAAGUUGUAUCAUACGAAGUUGUCUUUAUAGACAAACCAUCGCGAAACAGGCCUGUCUACAUUUUCAUUUUUCAGGAAUCCAGAAUGGUACUAACAAAAGCCUUACGAUUUACAUUCAUCAUCAGAUGAUUACAAUGGU
Saccostrea echinata is the source of this 285-nucleotide long non-coding RNA. RefSeq lists it as uncharacterized. The record is from RefSeq and is a predicted model, not a curated record. The transcript has 3 exons. Lineage: Eukaryota; Metazoa; Mollusca; Bivalvia; Ostreida; Ostreidae.